This is an RNA transcript of Selaginella moellendorffii, 2813 nucleotides long. It is a transcript of the gene named BTB/POZ domain-containing protein At1g30440-like, with no coding region annotated. NCBI's taxonomy places the organism in Eukaryota, Viridiplantae, Streptophyta, Lycopodiopsida, Selaginellales, Selaginellaceae. The transcript has 6 exons. The record is from RefSeq and is a predicted model, not a curated record.
GCGUUUUGAUUUUUACCCUCCCCCGACAUGAUUAAACCAGGUGGCACGCGCGAUACGCCAGGACACGUACCGACCGUACGAGCAUCACGGGGGGCCAGUAAAACAUUUCCGUGAAAGAAGAAAGUUAAUGGACGCCAAAGCGUUUCUCCAAUCCAGUCGAGCUCUGCAAAAACCCCGGUUUUCUUUAGGGUUUCUAGUCUCGUUCGGUUUGUUAAUUCAUUUCUUGCUUAAGCGAAUCCUUUCUUCGUCGAUCGGCCGGCGAUGGAGGAGCGAGCCUGAAUCUCGAAUGCCGAUCGCUGGGUGAGAAGGCCGCCAGAUUUCCAUCCGGAAUGGCGUGUAUGAAGCUCGGAUCCAAGGCGGACGGCUUCCAGAGAAGGGGGCAGGCAUGGUUUUGCACGACGGGACUUCCGAGCGACAUCGUCAUCGAGGUGGAGGAGAUGACGUUCCACCUCCACAAGUUCCCGCUCAUGUCCAGGAGCGGCAGAUUGACGCGGCUAGUCGCCGAGCUCCUAGAUGACGACGCGGGCGAUGGAAAUCGAAUCGUUCUUCCUGGCGUCCCCGGCGGCGCCGAGACCUUCGAGCUCGCCGCCAAGUUUUGCUACGCCGUCAAGGUGGAGCUCACUUCGGCCAAUGCGGUGGCGCUGAGGUGCGCCGCCGAGUACCUGGAGAUGACCGAGGAGUAUGUGGAAGGGAACCUUAUCGCCAAGAUCGAUAGUUUCCUCAACCAGGUGGUUCUCAAGAGCUGGAAGGACUCGGUCCGGGCGCUCCAGAGCUGCGAGGACGUGUUCCAGCAGGCCGAGGAACUCGGGAUCGUCAAACGAUGCAUCGACUCCAUCGCCAGCAAAGCUUGCACCGAUCCAGCGCUGUUUGGGUGGCCGGUGAUGGAGCAGAGCGGCUCAAUGCAGAGUCCCGGGGGGAGUGUUCUCUGGAACGGGAUAAGCACAGGGGCAAAGCCGAAGAACCCGAGGUCGGAUUGGUGGUAUGAGGAUGUUUCGCUGCUCAGUCUUCCGCUCUACGAGAGGGUGAUCUCUGCAAUGGAGGCCAAGGGGAUCCGGGGGGACGCGAUCGCGGGAGCGCUCAUGUACUAUGCAAAGAAACAGCUCCCGGGACUAAGUCGGAGACAGGACGGGCGAGAAAGUGGGAACUUGUCCAUCGUUCCGGUGACGAAUGCUCCAUCGGAGAACGAGCAAAAGGUGCUCUUGGAGACGAUUGAGAGCUUGCUGCCCCUCCAGAAAGGCGUCGUCUCGACCAGGUUCCUGUUCGGCCUGCUCCGGAUUGCGAUGAUUCUUUCGGCUAAUGCGGACUGCAAGAGCAGCCUCGAGAGGAGGAUCGGCCAGCAGAUGGAACAGGCAAGUCUCGACGAUCUCCUCAUGCCCAAUUACUCGUACACAGUGGAGACGCUGUAUGACAUCGAUACGGUACAGCGGAUACUUGACCAUUUUCUUAUGAUGGACCAAGCUCGUGCAACCUCUUCGUCGAUUCAGUCCUUCGAAGAUGGCCCGUUGAUCGGGUCGCCGCAGCUGAGUCCGAUGAUGAUGGUGGCCAAGCAGAUGGAUAACUAUCUCGCCGAGGUUGCCCCGGAUGUCAACUUGAAGCCGGCCAAGUUCCAAUCGCUCGCAGAAUGUCUACCAGAGUACGCCAGACUUAUGGACGAUGGGCUGUACAGGGCGAUCGAUAUUUAUUUGAAGGCACAUCCAUGGCUUUUGGAGCACGAGCGAGAGCGCAUCUGCCGAAUUAUGGACUGCCAAAAGCUCUCCCUGGAGGCGUGCACUCAUGCGGCACAGAACGAGCGGCUGCCACUCCGGGUGGUGGUGCAAGUCCUCUUUUUCGAGCAGCUCCAGUUGCGGACCGCCAUCGCCGGCUGCUUCCUUGUUGCCGACAACGUCGAUCAGUCGAGGCCCCUGCGCUCCUCGCACCUGGUGGAAAACGCUGGCGGCGUUGGUCACUCGAGCUUGCAAAACGGCUGGGCCAGCGUCAUCCGCGAGAACCAGGUCCUCAAGGUGGACAUGGACAGAAUGAGGAGCCGGGUGGUGGAGCUUGAGAAGGAAUGCACGACGAUGCGGCAGGAGAUUGAGAAGCUGGGAAAGGGGGGAAAGGGGCCGUUUGGGCUGGUUUCUCGACGCUUCGGUUGCAAGACAGCCAAGAGCCAGGUCUCCAACUCACACGAGAAGGUGGAGCCGGGGGUGCCAUUCUCGGCAGAGAUUUCAGCGAAGCAGACGAUGAAGCAGCAAGGCCAACAUAACCGCAGCGCCUCCAGCGCUCACUGACUCUAAACGACGCAACUUCUAAGAUAUUAUUUUUUUCUCCUCUCCUGUACUGCGUGAAGAAGACUGGGAUGAUGUAACAUAUAACAAUAGUCAGUCCGCCUGUGAGGGCUUGUCGCUGGUUUGCUUGGAAAUUUGCAGCCUUUCUCUUGUUCGAAUGCUUGCAUUUGCCGUGCUUUUCUGGCGUGGAGUGCAUGUGGAAGGAGUGCCUCUCCUGUUUGCUCUCAUGCAUUUUUCUAUGCUGCUUGCAUUGAAAGCGAGAAAGUAUAUCGAUUAAGCCGACGUGCGGUUAUGUGUGCCAUUGUUUUCUUCCUUGUCGCAUUGCGUACGUGAUGCAGCUGCAGAGCAGCAUACAAGACUGCGCGGGGAUUGACCGACUGAGCUUUUGUUCUCCUUUUUCUUCUCAUGGAUGCAGCUGUAGGCCACAUUUUCACAUUUGUUAAUGUUUCGCAACAACCACUGGAAAACUGCCCGAAAACAAGACUAUGCAAUGUGACCUGCACUGCCCGGGAAUCGAACCCGGGUCUGUUCCGUGGCAGGGAACUAUUC